ACGGACAUGUUGUGCUCGUUCCCCCCCCUCCCCGUCCCCAAGCCCUCCCGCCGCCGCGAGGGAGCAGCCGGUGGGGGCAGCGGUUCGCCCCUGCGCCGCGGGAUGGCCGCCAGCUGUGACCACAGGCCUGGCUGCCUGCAGAGACUUCCAGACAAGCUGCCUGCGUAACCUUUCCAGUAGUGCUUCGAGGUUCCUGUCCUGUGAGCCUGUCCAGACUGUCUUAUGCAUUUGAAGAAGUAAUUUUGUAGCUGAGAUCAGAAUUAAUCUCUGGAGCCCCCAGCACAAAAAGGAUGUGGACCUGUUGGAGUGUGUCCAGAGGAGGGCAACAAAAAUGACCAGAGGGCUGGAGCACCUCUCUUAUGAAGUUUUCUUUUAAUACAGGAAGACAUGUAGAAGCUGUGGCAGAGACACAAAGCAAAGAACAUUCCUGCAUCUGUCACAUGCCUCUAGCAGUGCCUGUUGAAGAGGAAAGUUGCAAGAGAAACAGAACAGACUCCUCCUGGAAAAGAACUAUGCAGCAAAUGAUGGCAUUUUCAGAGCUGUCGUUACUUACUUUUGCUAAGCAAAGCAUGGAAAGCAGCCAGCUAUGGAUAUUACCAGCAAUGUGAUCAGCACCCUCUUCUCUCAGCAGCACUGUUCAGCACAUUGCAUUAUCUUACUGACACUGCAGAUAAUUACUGUAGUUUUGCAGAGAGAUCUUAACUGCAACCAGUUCCUGCAGUACUGAUGGACAGAGAGUACAUGCAAUUCUCGAUGAACACCAGCUGCAUCAGAAGGUGCAACCUUCCAAGACCUAUCAGGAAACACAUAUACUGGCUUCCCUGGACUGAAGAACUGGCUCCUAAAGAAGCUGGCUAUGUAAUUCUAUCAACAUCAAUGGGAAUCACACAGAGAAUCAUGCUGGAAACCAGAACAAUCCACAGAGGUAAGUAUCUUGGCAGCAGAAGCACUCUUUUAAUGAUGUAAGGGAUUUUAAACAAUUUUUUCUUGUUUUCUACUCCCCAGUUAACUCUUCUAAAAACAUGCAGGACAGACUGAUGUUACUUCCAAAAUCUUAUUUGUGCAUCAUAUUAGUCAACAUUGCUCCAUAUGAAAUACCCUCAAGGUAUAUUGAAAAUUAAAAAAAAAACCCAAAACCUUAUGACCAGUGUGUCUUUGUAACUGAAAUGCCUCAAAUCUGAAACAGCAUGUAGAUAUCUCAGAAAAAAAUAGUCACCAAAAGUCAACAACUGGGAAGUGAGCUUCACAACAAAGAAAAACACAGAAGAUGUCUGUAUGUGGCCAGCAGUGCCUGUAAAAUAAAUAUUCCAUUAAAGAAAAUUUAUUUUCCAUUGUGCUGCCUGGCACUGUGCCUAAUUACUGUGGCAAAAAAUAAACUAUGGGUGAAAAAUGAUCCUGCACAGCUUUAACCCUCUGUAAGAGCUUUCUAACUUAAAACUAUAUUUGCUUUCAACAAAGGCUAGUUUCUCUGCUAAAAAAAUAUCUCGGAGUGCUGAGAGUUUAAAGAGAUAUAUUUUAAGUACUAUUUUAAUAUAUUUUAUUGUAGCUAUAAAUAAUUACAUUUUAUUAAUAAGAAAGUAGUAAAUACAAAGUUAUGCUUUUUAAGGACCUAUUCUCCUAAAUAUCUCAAGUCAUUUUAUAAUAAUUACCUCAAAGUCUCUACCCAAACAAAAUUCUAAGUGGAAACUGCUUCAUAUCCAGCUCCCAGUGUUUGGUUCUGAUUCCAGAAAACCAAUUAACUGAUUUAAAAGUAAGACACUAACUAACCUGAGCUGGUUUAAUUUUCAACCUGUAUUUUGUGCUUUUUCUUUUUUCUUUAAUUAAAAGAGAU
Long non-coding RNA from Apus apus (common swift), 1831 nucleotides. RefSeq lists it as uncharacterized. The record is from RefSeq and is a predicted model, not a curated record. Lineage: Eukaryota; Metazoa; Chordata; Aves; Apodiformes; Apodidae. The transcript is spliced from 7 exons.